ACUCAAAGGAAUAGACGGGGGCCCGCACAAGCGGCGGAGCAUGUGGCUUAAUUCGAUGCAACGCGAAGAACCUUACCAAGGCUUGACAUAUAGAGAAAUCUGGCAGAGAUGCCAGGUCCGCAAGGGCUCUAUACAGGUGGUGCAUGGUUGUCGUCAGCUCGUGUCGUGAGAUGUUGGGUUAAGUCCCGCAACGAGCGCAACCCUCGUCCUAUGUUGCCAGCGGUUCGGCCGGGAACUCAUGGGAGACUGCCGGGGUCAACUCGGAGGAAGGUGGGGAUGAGGUCAAAUCAUCAUGCCCCUUAUGUCUUGGGCUGCACACAUGCUACAAUGGCCGGUACAAAGGGCUGCGAAACCGCAAGGUGGAGCGAAUCCCAAAAAGCCGGUCUCAGUUCGGAUUGGGGUCUGCAACUCGACCCCAUGAAGUCGGAGUCGCUAGUAAUCGCAGAUCAGCAACGCUGCGGUGAAUACGUUCCCGGGCCUUGCACACACCGCCCGU
This 496-nucleotide ribosomal RNA is filed under the name uncultured bacterium. RNAcentral describes it as "partial 16S ribosomal RNA". It matches the Rfam family "Bacterial small subunit ribosomal RNA", at positions 899 to 1397 of the family's 1533-position model. The record is from RNAcentral.